Molecule: ribosomal RNA, 232 nt
Filed under: uncultured bacterium
Lineage: Bacteria
Description: partial 16S ribosomal RNA
Rfam family: Bacterial small subunit ribosomal RNA
Source: RNAcentral
GCUCCUACGGGGCGCAGCAGUGGGGAAUAUUGGGCAAUGGGCGCAAGCCUGACCCAGCAACGCCGCGUGAAGGAAGAAGGCUUUCGGGUUGUAAACUUCUUUUCUUGGGGACGAAGAAAGUGACGGUACCCAAGGAAUAAGCCACGGCUAACGACGUGCCAGCAGCCGCGGUAAUACGUAGGGGGCAAGCGUUAUCCGGAUUUAUUGGGUGUAAAGGGCGUGUAGGCGGGAU